This 257-nucleotide ribosomal RNA is filed under the name Lactiplantibacillus plantarum. RNAcentral describes it as "partial 23S ribosomal RNA". Lineage: Bacteria; Bacillati; Bacillota; Bacilli; Lactobacillales; Lactobacillaceae. The record is from RNAcentral.
GGUUAAGUUAACAAGGGCGCAUGGUGAAUGCCUUGGCACUAGGAGCCGAUGAAGGACGGGACUAACACCGAUAUGCUUCGGGGAGCUGUACGUAAGCUAUGAUCCGGAGAUUUCCGAAUGGGGCAACCCAGCAGUUUURCCAUACUCGUCAGUUUACCAGCCAAAUCAAUGUUGAUAGUCGCAAGUUGCUGGUUAACGUAGAAAUUACUUAGUGGUUGGCCGGUGGGCUGGGUCACUGAGAUGACUUGAGCCACAUU